AAAAAAUUGUGAAAUAAUUCAAAGAGAAGAGGAAAUGUAAAUCACUGGUGUAAAUUCGAAAUUGAAAAAGUCGUCAAUCGUGAACUCUGAUGCCGAUACGGGGUGGUGCGUCUUAUCGAAACCGGGGCGAGACAGGAGGAAAAUCUUCUAAAGAGAGGAAAAGCUGAAGGGAGGAGACGACGGAAGGGGGGCUGGUACCGGUGACCCAGAUGCGCACGCGACACGAAUUCUAGGGAGAGAAAAAAAACGACAAUAAUGAGGAGACCAGAGAUUAACUGCAACCUCGACAA
Apis dorsata (giant honeybee) is the source of this 290-nucleotide long non-coding RNA. RefSeq lists it as uncharacterized. The record is from RefSeq and is a predicted model, not a curated record. The transcript has 2 exons. Lineage: Eukaryota; Metazoa; Arthropoda; Insecta; Hymenoptera; Apidae.